AGGUGGCGGUUAGCUAUCACUUACAGAUGGACCCGCGGCGCAUUAGCUAGUUGGUGAGGUAACGGCUCACCAACGCAACGAUGCGUAGCCGACCUGGUAGGGUGAUCGGCCACACUGGGACUGAGACACGGCCCAGACUCUACGGGAGGCAGCAGUAGGUAAUCUUCCGCAAUGGACGAAAGUCUGACGAAGCAACGCCGCGUGAGUGAUGAAGGUUUUCGGAUCGUAAAGCUCUGUUGUUAGGGAAGAACAAGUGCCGUUCGAAUAGGGCGGCACCUUGCCGGUACCUAACCAGAAAGCCACGGGUAAUACGUGCCAGCAGCCCCGGUAAUACGUAGGUGGCAAGCGUUGUCCGAAAUUAUUGGGCGUAAAGCGCGCGCAGGUGGUUCCU
Molecule: ribosomal RNA, 391 nt
Filed under: uncultured bacterium
Lineage: Bacteria
Description: bacterial SSU rRNA
Rfam family: Bacterial small subunit ribosomal RNA
Source: RNAcentral